Molecule: ribosomal RNA, 278 nt
Filed under: uncultured bacterium
Lineage: Bacteria
Description: partial 16S ribosomal RNA
Rfam family: Bacterial small subunit ribosomal RNA
Source: RNAcentral
AACGAACGCUGGCGGCAGGCUUAACACAUGCAAGUCGAGCGAACCCUUCGGGGUUAGCGGCGGACGGGUGAGUAACGCGUGGGAACAUACCCUUUUCUGCGGAAUAGCCACUGGAAACGGUGAGUAAUACCGCAUACGCCCUUCGGGGGAAAGAUUUAUCGGUGAAGGAUUGGCCCGCGUUAGAUUAGGUAGUUGGUGGGGUAACGGCCUACCAAGCCUACGAUCUAUAGCUGGUUUUAGAGGAUGAUCAGCCACACUGGGACUGAGACACGGCCCAG